RNAcentral lists this ribosomal RNA (192 nucleotides) under uncultured Smithella sp. RNAcentral's name for it is "partial 16S ribosomal RNA". It matches the Rfam family "Bacterial small subunit ribosomal RNA", at positions 1191 to 1382 of the family's 1533-position model. Lineage: Bacteria; Pseudomonadati; Thermodesulfobacteriota; Syntrophia; Syntrophales; Smithellaceae. The record is from RNAcentral.
CCUCAUGGCCUUUAUGCUUAGGGCUACACACGUGCUACAAUGGGUGGUACAAAGAGAAGCCAACUCGCGAGAGCGCGCCAAUCUCAAAAAGCCAUCCUCAGUUCGGAUUGGAGUCUGCAACUCGACUCCAUGAAGGUGGAAUCGCUAGUAAUCGCGCAUCAGCAUGGCGCGGUGAAUACGUUCCCGGGCCUU